RNAcentral lists this ribosomal RNA (468 nucleotides) under uncultured bacterium. RNAcentral describes it as "partial 16S ribosomal RNA". It matches the Rfam family "Bacterial small subunit ribosomal RNA", at positions 28 to 507 of the family's 1533-position model. The record is from RNAcentral.
GAUGAACGCUGGCGGCGUGCUUAACACAUGCAAGUCGAACGGAAAGGCCCAAGCUUGCUUGGGUACUCGAGUGGCGAACGGGUGAGUAACACGUGGGUGAUCUGCCCUGCACUUCGGGAUAAGCCUGGGAAACUGGGUCUAAUACCGGAUAGGACGAUGGUUUGGAUGCCAUUGUGGAAAGUUUUUUCGGUGUGGGAUGAGCUCGCGGCCUAUCAGCUUGUUGGUGGGGUAAUGGCCUACCAAGGCGUCGACGGGUAGCCGGCCUGUGAGGGUGUACGGCGACAUUGGGACUGAGAUACGGCCCAGACUCCUACGGGAGGCAGCAGUGGGGAAUAUGGCACAAUGGGCGCAAGCCUGAUGCAGCGACGCCGCGUGGGGGAUGACGGCCUUCGGGUUGUAGACUCCUUUCGCUAGGGACGAAGCGUUUUUGUGACGGUACCUGGAGAAGAAGCACCGGCUAACUACGUG